Helianthus annuus (common sunflower) is the source of this 1564-nucleotide long non-coding RNA. RefSeq lists it as uncharacterized. Lineage: Eukaryota; Viridiplantae; Streptophyta; Magnoliopsida; Asterales; Asteraceae. The transcript has 2 exons. The record is from RefSeq and is a predicted model, not a curated record.
GGUGGUGGUUGUGUUAACAGUAGCCGUGAAAAGGCAGGCUUUUUUUAUGUUUGUGUUGAAUAGUACAGGCUGUGUAUAUGUUGAUUUGAUGGGGAUUUGAAACAAUGUCCGACAAUGAUGGUUGCUUGCUACUUGGCGUGGCAACUCCGUUUGCAGCUGUACCAGCGCUGAGUCGUAUUUGGCGAUGAUGAAGUGCCAUUCUGAGCCUUUUCGCUUUGUCACGAGUCGAAUGGUUUUGUAGUUUCUGUUUUAUAUAGGCCUUUUCGCUUUUUUUAUCCAUCAAUAAGUUAUUUAUUUAGAAUGUUGAAAUACAUAUGUACAGGUUAUAUAUGUUUUGUUCAUCUUAUUCUUAUGUAUAUUUCUUUUAUAAUGCCAUUACACUUACAUUUGGUUAUUUAUUAAUAUAUUAGACUAUCCUAUUUUCAUGAGAUUUGUUGUGGGAACACAUGAAUAGUUGAAUGGCUAAUGAUUUAUUUGUCAUUUAUGGGUCAAAGGUAUGUCAUGAGAUGCAAAUGAAUGACCAAUUUAGUGGUUUUUCUAAUUUUCAUGGACCAGGUUAGUAGUUCACUACCGUUUCUAUAUUGCAUAUAUAUGCAGUGCAAUUUAUAUGGUAGUAUAGUUAGCCUAUUUAUGCUUAAAAAGUGACUAACAUGAAUGUUAUGGUGAUAUUGAUUGUUUAACUAUGUAUUCGACUAUUCGUUGAGAUAAUAUUGUGUUGAAUGAUACACUAAUAAUGUGAAUAGGAAAUUCAUAAGAAAGAGAAUAUUAUUUUUUAUGUGCAAAAAUUUCAUGUUAGAAUGAAACUUAUGUAAUCACCUUAUACUAAAAAAGAAAAAAGAAAAUCCUAACAUACUUCUAACAUGUUAGAAUGAAACAUAUGUAAUCACCUUACAGGGAAAAACAUGUAUUUAAACCAGAGCCCUCGGUUCCAUGAGGACUCUCACAUCAUGAUUGUGCAGAGAUAUAAAGCCAGUAACAUACUUCUUCUUGAUGACAAUUUUUCAACAAAGAAUUGGAGAUUUUGGGCUGGCCAGAUUCUUCGUUAAGGAUUCAGCUUAUGCAUAAAAGUUGUAUGAAAGAUCAAGAAUGAAGAGUGAAGGUUUUGUUUAAAGGGAUGUUAUGCAAACGAUUUGGGUAGCUCUAUUGUGCGUUCGGUUGUUCAGCCUCAUGCUAACUUAAGGCCACCAAUGCCAGAGAUUGUAUCUAUGUUAUAACAUGGAAGGUGGAAAUGGUCAAAAUGAAUGAGAAAGGAUCUUGGGAAGCCAUCUCUGAUUAUUUCCCUUCUCCACUCGAAACUGAAUCACCCAACUUGACUCAACCUCCAAACUCUUGCAGCAAGGAAAGAGGGAAUGAAAGCAUGGCAGUUAAAAAACACUAAUUGAUUGCAAGGUACCGAUCCGUGUGUUAAUACAAGUAGGCAUUGUUCCACGUUAUCCCAUGCGUUGAUUUGCUUUUUCUAGACGAACAUUUCAAGUAAAUAGUAUGUGUAUGUGAAGAAAGUUUUAAUUUCAAAAUGUUUCCUCCUUUAAAUUCCAUAUUUGUGUAGAUAAAUUCAUCUUUUGGU